Molecule: transfer RNA, 68 nt
Filed under: Allobosea sp.
Lineage: Bacteria; Pseudomonadati; Pseudomonadota; Alphaproteobacteria; Hyphomicrobiales; Alloboseaceae
Description: tRNA-Val
Source: RNAcentral
GGGUUAGCGAAGCCCUCGCCUCGUUUACACCGAGAGGGUCGGCGGUUCGAGCCCGUCACCGCCCACCA